Molecule: long non-coding RNA, 1078 nt
Organism: Armigeres subalbatus
Lineage: Eukaryota; Metazoa; Arthropoda; Insecta; Diptera; Culicidae
Exons: 3
Source: RefSeq, a predicted model, not a curated record
UGGACGAUGUAGUGGCCAAACGACUGCAGGCACAUGGUACUCCUGAACCGCUCAUGGUGACGUGGACAGGAAACAUAAACCGCUUCGAAAGCGAAUCAAAAACCGUACAGCUGAUGAUGUCCGCAAAAGGCUCCGACAGGAAAUUCUCUUUGACCAACGCUCGUACAGUGUCUGAACUACAGCUACCCAAGCAAAAUGUACGGUAUCGAGAAUUGAUGGAACGCUACACACAUCUUGCGGACGUGCCGAUUGAAGAGUUUCCGGAGGGAGUGCCAACUAUUCUACUUGGAUUGGAUAACCUCCAUUUGUUUGCACCAUUAGAGUCUCGUGUAGAUAAAUCGAAUGAACCGAUUGCCGUGCGCUCGAGAAUUGGUUGGACAAUCUAUGGUGUGGAGAAACGGAAGUGGAGAAACCCGGAAAUAUCGACGGACGGAAAACAAAAGGAAAAUAAUUCAACUAAGUCCGAGAAGCUGAAACAGGUGCUAAAAAAGUUCGGUGACUUGAGAUCACCGCAAGCGGAAGUUUAUGUUGAGAGUAAUUCCAAUCGGAAGGGUGUCCAGAAGUUAAGGGAGGUAACCCUGAGCCGGAAGUGGCCUCCGGGGCAGAGUUACGGGCCGGGGAAUGUUCUGGCAACCCUGCCCAGACGCAGCCGCGUCACAACCGACAUUUGGCCGAUUAGGUAAAUUAGCUGAUAUGAUGGUGAGAGUGAGUGAUGAAAUUGAAAAGCGAGGAGGAAACAUAUACGUUGAAGAGGUAAGGGAAAAUAUAAACAAAUGGCUGAAGUUGAGUAAAGUGGAUUGAUAGCGAAUCGUAGAAAUUUAUUGUGAGGGUAGAGUUGGAGAUAUAAUUUGAAUAAAGUGUUAGUGGCUGAGGUGAAUUAGGUGGAGUUUGGUCAGCAGAUCACAGUAACGCACACUCUGACGGACGACAAUACAGUGGUGCUCGAACUAUUGCGGACAGCCCACGGAAGAGUAAGACGACAUUUAGACGAACGACAUAUAAACGAGUAGGACAGACAGAAAAGGUCAAAAAGGACGAUUGAGACGGAAGACAAAGGAGCAAAAACAAACUAAAUUGU